RNAcentral lists this ribosomal RNA (426 nucleotides) under uncultured bacterium. RNAcentral describes it as "bacterial SSU rRNA". It matches the Rfam family "Bacterial small subunit ribosomal RNA", at positions 354 to 796 of the family's 1533-position model. The record is from RNAcentral.
GUGAGGAAUUUUCCGCAAUGGGCGAAAGCCUGACGGAGCAAUGCCGCGUGAAGGAUGAAGGCCUAUGGGUUGUAAACUUCUUUUCUCAGAAAAGAAUUAUGACGGUAUCUGAGGAAUAAGCAUCGGCUAACUCUGUGCCAGCAGCCGCGGUAAGACAGAGGAUGCAAGCGUUAUCCGGAAUGAUUGGGCGUAAAGCGUCUGUAGGUUGUUUAAAAAGUAUUCUGUCAAAGAUUAGGGCUUAACCCUAGAUAGGCAAAAUAAACUUUUAAGCUAGAGUUUGGUAGAGGCAGAGGGAAUUCCCGGUGGAGCGGUGAAAUGCGGAGAUAUCGGGAGGAACACCAAAGGCGAAGGCACUCUGCUGGGCCAAUACUAACACUGAGAGACGAAAGCGAGGGGAGCAAAUGGGAUUAGAAACCCUUGUAGUCC